This 1049-nucleotide long non-coding RNA is filed under the name Homo sapiens (human). RNAcentral's name for it is "HSALNT0374628". Lineage: Eukaryota; Metazoa; Chordata; Mammalia; Primates; Hominidae. The record is from RNAcentral.
GGUACAACGGGACGUGGAGUUGGAUCGAGCUGUCUCGUAAGGAAUAUCGGAAGGGGUGGGGACACUACUGGGAGAUGGCAUAGGUCCAGGACACUAAUUAGGCUUUGGCUGAGAUCAGAUAAAGGAAACUGUUCGUAAGCUGCUUACUUAAAAAGAAAGGAAAAGGUGCGUUUGAGUUCAGGAGACUGCGAGUCCCAGAGCAGGAGGCGGGAGCCAGCGAAGGGUGGGCGUGUAAGGGGUGCAGUCGCUUCUCCCGCUGGGCAAGAGACUCCCCCUUUCGGCAGCCUGGGUUCCCCGCCUCCCCACCUCCUGCUCCUCCUCCCCCGAGCCCUAAGGGCCCGCAGGGCCUCCAGUAGCAAAGCCACUGGCCCCGCGUCCCCGCGUCCCCCUGCGCCGCGCCCCGGGGCGCAGGCAGGGACCACGCGGCCGGCGUGGGGGCGGCGCCACCCGCAGCAGAAAGCCCCGGCGUGGACCGCGUGGCGUAGGAAAGCGCUCCCCUCGCCCCCAGCCGCAGAGGGCUUGGGCAGCAUCGGGCGCGGCCCCGGGAGAGUGCGUCCGCGGCGCCAGCGGCUGCAGGGUGACCUGUUUCGGGCGGGGACACUCACCAGAAGAACACGCGUGAGCAGAGGACCAAACGACGGUGCCAUGGGAGGCUCUUCAACCUGUGAGCCAAACAUUUGACCUUGGACGACAGCAAAGUUUAGCCACAGAUUAUCCUUGUAGAGCUGCAAGACCUCAAGAAAGCCGGGUAACUCGAGAGUAUGACCCAGAUGAAUUCGGGAGAUGGAUGAAUGCUGUCGUCGAUGGGGGCGGGCUUUAGGCAUCUCACAUGUUGCAUGCUACGGUGGACCUCUGAGCUUUUUGCUGCCCCCUUAGAUUGGGAAAGGAAUAUAAGAGGAAAGAGAGACUGCCUGAUGAUUUCUGUCGUCAAGCCCUAAAGCCUAACAGAUAACAGUGGCAAACGACACGUGGGUUCCAGAAUACCAGUGAUGUUCAUGUGCAUUUCUGAGCUAGUCAAGUGAAGCAGUGGGAGUGGAAAAGGAGCAAAG